Triticum aestivum (bread wheat) is the source of this 2120-nucleotide long non-coding RNA. RefSeq lists it as uncharacterized. Lineage: Eukaryota; Viridiplantae; Streptophyta; Magnoliopsida; Poales; Poaceae. The transcript is spliced from 3 exons. The record is from RefSeq and is a predicted model, not a curated record.
AAUCCCCUCCCCCCUGAAUUUCAGAAUUUCAGAAUUUAAUGUGUAGCGGCUCGGCGGCGACUGAGAGGAUUCGAUUCGGCAUCGGCACCGUAGCCAGCGGGGCGAUGGGAGGGAUCGAUGAUUUCCCUGUGGAUCCGGUGUGCGUGCUAGUCCCCCGCCCCCUCCCCCACGCAUCUGUAUUCUGUGGUGGCCGCGCGAGCUCAUCCAUGGUCCUUGACGACCCCCCCCCCCCCCCCCCCCCGGCGGUGCCCCGUGUCUUUUUUCGUCGUGUGUGCAGGUUGCUGAUCUUCCAAGAGGCGCCGCGUGGGAGCGCGGUUGGGAGCAGGGGAGGAGAUGUGCUGCGGGAUUCAUCUGUGGCUCCGCACAACAACGGCGUGGAGUACGACGGCGAUGGGAGCAUGGAGAAUGGCCCAGCGGAGUCGGGGGAGUCGGCCGUCAAGCCGGCUCCACGGUCGCCGGACUGGAUUAAGAGAGUUCAUGCGGGCACUAUUCCUACAUAAAGAACACCCUGUCUGGGAAGGAUGGGGGCCCUCAAAAUAUCUAAAGGGGCUUUGCGGAGCGAGAUAGAGAAGAGGUUGUCAAGCCAUAGUUAUGCACCACAUUUGACAUGUUGACGGAAGCGUACGACUUCUACAAUCUAUACUCAUGGGAACUUGGUUUCGGUAUAACGUAUGGCAAAAGCCGACUGAAUCCAGGCAAGCAGAAGACAAAUGCAAGAGAUAGUCUGUGGUUGCUCAGUAAGGAUGCAGAACUGAAAUGAAUUUAGACAAGAAAUACAGGCGAUAAAGAGCACACUGUCAGAUACAGUCCACCGGUGAUUUAAGUGGUACAUCUUGAAGGCUAUAGAAAGUUUGGGGGUUCUGCACGGGAAUAGAAAAUGAAUUUAGACAUGAGUUUCAUAAAGUCAUAAACCAUAUGCUCACAGUGGACGAGAUCGAUCGAGGAAGCGUGGUCUCAGCUACUGGAGAAGUACGACCUGAAGGCACACUCGUACAUGACGCAGAUUUUCGGGAUAAGGGAGAAGUGGGCGAAGUCAUAUUUCAAGGGAAUUUUCUGUGUGAAGAUGACAAGUACCCAGAGGAGUGAGAGUGUGAACCAUAUGCUGAAGAAAUAUGUGCCCUCCGGCUCUCCGAUGCAUAAGUUUGUUAGGCAGUACAUGCGGUUGCAGUUUAAUCGUCAAUCAGAUGAGAGUUAUGAAGAGAAGAAAACUAAAAUCGUAAGUGCAGCUUCAUUGAGAAAGAAACGGUAGAGACAUGAGAAGUGGAGCUAGGUGGUUUUCCUAGUAAAAAUGACCGGUAAUGGUUCAGAGUUUGGGUGAGAAUGCGGGCUUUUUGAGCACAUAGGCAUGGUGUCUUGUCAUAUACUUCAGGUGAUGGAUUCCUUGGCAUGACAAAGGUGUCGGAUAAGCACAUUGUGAGAAGGCGGACCAACGAUGGUCGAGACAUACUGCCAGAGCACUUGCAUCACUACCAGUGCGAUCAGCUUGGUGCCACGCCCCUGACUUUUCGUCAUAAUCGGAUGUAUGUGCAGGCAUUAGAGUUGAUCCGAUUGGGAGAUGCCAGUGUGGAAGCUUAACACUGAUGGGACUCAUCAAUAAAGCUAUGAAGGUGAUGGCUCCUUUCGACCAGGCGAGGAAUGGGCUGGGACAGGAGGAUCGUGUCAGUGGCAAGAAGCAAGGCAAUGUCGAUGAAAAAGAAACCAAGGCUGGCGAGGAUGAGUAUGUUGUGCUGCCGGGGCAUAGCAAUCUUUUGGUUGGCCUGGGAGUGCCAUCAAAGAAGAAAAGUGCAGGGAGGCCGACAAACGCAAGAGGCCAGGCACCUUACGAAGGAUUGAGUAAGAGUAGAUUCUGUAGCAUCUGCAAAAUUCAAGGCCACAAACGAACAACUUGCCCGCAGAGAGGAGACGUUCCCAAAGUUUAGAGGAAAGAAGCAAAACUGCAGCAAGUGUGGUGUCACUGGCCAUCAGAAGAACACCUGCGACAGGCCAGCGGGAAAAGUUGUUCAGGGUGUACUGUUGUACUAGCAAUUAGGACCAAAAGUGGUUGUAGAAUGCACAUGUUGUGCGUGUGAUGUGAACGUUAAUGAAAUACUAUCAUGGUGAUAAGAUAACUAAAUCUGUUA